GUGGGGAAUCUUCCGCAAUGGACGAAAGUCUGACGGAGCGACGCCGCGUGAGUGAAGAAGGCCUUCGGGUCGUAAAGCUCUGUCAUCAGGGACGAACGGCCGGUGGAGUGGAAAGCCACCGGAUUGACGGUACCUGAGAAGGAAGCCACGGCUAACUACGUGCCAGCAGCCGCGGUAAUACGUAGGUGGCAAGCGUUGUCCGGAAUUAUUGGGCGUAAAGCGCGCGCAGGUGGGAUCUUAAGUCCAUUUUUAAAGUUCGGAGCUCAACUCCGUGAUGGGAUGGAAACUGGGAUUCUUGAGUACCGGAGAGGAAAGCGGAAUUCCCCGUGUAGCGGUGAAAUGCGUAGAUAUGGGGAGGAACACCAGUGGCGAAGGCGGCUUUCUGGACGGUGUCUGACACUGAGGCGCGAAAGCCAGGGGAGCGAACGGGAUUAGAUACCUCAGUAGUCC
This 450-nucleotide ribosomal RNA is filed under the name uncultured bacterium. Its description in RNAcentral is "partial 16S ribosomal RNA". It matches the Rfam family "Bacterial small subunit ribosomal RNA", at positions 354 to 796 of the family's 1533-position model. The record is from RNAcentral.